Bufo bufo (common toad) is the source of this 473-nucleotide non-coding RNA. Lineage: Eukaryota; Metazoa; Chordata; Amphibia; Anura; Bufonidae. The record is from the annotation of a RefSeq genome assembly.
GACCGUGCUGUGACUACAUCAGGCACUGCUGUUAGGACUCGGGAACAAUGCUACUAAAUCAUCUGAUUCUCAUCUUUAUUAUAAAUCUACAUUGUGGGACAUGUAAAGAAGAUGUAAUACAGACGCCUCCUGCACUCACUGCAGAGCAAGGACAUACAGCGGCUAUGAGCUGUGAAUAUACGGACAGUGCUUUCUACAGUCUGCAGUGGUACAAGCAAUUUCUAGGAAGGGGUUUAGUGCCUUUAGUAAUCUUGAGAGACAGUAAUAAGAAUGUUACUCGAAACAGAUAUGUAUUUGCAUUGAAGAAGGAUCAGAAGUUAAGUACCAUGUUCAUCACGAAUCUGGAAGUGGAAGACUCAGCUGUCUACUGGUGUGGGUAUGAGGCACAGUAACAGAAAGCAGCCAGUAACUGUGCAAAAACCUUUGCUUCAAGAUCAACUAUUCUACAUAUCAUAGAAAAUCAAAGAAGAACC